This 1207-nucleotide long non-coding RNA is filed under the name Anser cygnoides (Swan goose). RNAcentral describes it as "lncRNA (ENSACDG00005006713.1)". The record is from RNAcentral. Lineage: Eukaryota; Metazoa; Chordata; Aves; Anseriformes; Anatidae.
AUGAAAGACUGUAUAUGCUUCCACCGACACAUUAACACUAAUUUGGAAUUAUCCCAAGCAUUUAUUUCACCCAUCAGGAACCUCCUUUAUUUACAACAACAGUUACAAUUCACUUGUUAUCUAGUUCUUUCCUCUUUUUUUUUUUUUUUUUUUUUUUGCAGACACCUCCCUUUGAACCUCCAGCCUCCCUUCAAACCAUCUGGGAGGAGACAGUUCCCCACAGACUGGCUGGGAUGCCACUGACCUCCCAGCACAGAGCACAUGCAACACUCAGAGGGAUGAGGCAUUUUUUCUGGGCUACCUCUAAGGGAAAACCACUGUGAAAAAAAAAAAAAAAGAAUAGUUAAGUGGUGUUCCCCUGUUCAAGGAAAGCAUCCCGUCUACCCUGGCACAUUUGCCAUAAUCAGCAUUAUCAGAUGCACCAAUACUGCCCUACUGCUUGAGAGCUCUGCUUGCCCUCCUUUUACAUGCUCUCAGGGGAUGAAGGGGAACCCUUCACGGGUGCUAUAAUUGCAGCUCCCCCCGAUCCCUCUCCUAUGGCAUUGAUGAGGCUGGCAUCGUGUAUGCACACACUGGCAGAGACACAGGAGAGGUACAACAGUAAGGGGUCCUGCUACCAAAGCAGAAGGACCCUGAAGAUGCUUGAGCCCAUGCUGCCAUGGGGAUGUGAGGGAAAGCUAUGAAGGAUCUUAAAGAAUGAAGGAGGGAAAACUGGCGGACAGUAAAGAAAGAGCAAAGAAAGCAUUGAAAACCCACGAGUAGACUGAAUAAUGAGGAGCCAAAUAUUAUGGAAGGACAGAGGAAGGCAAGAACAGAUUAUAUAAAUACAGCUAAAAGAUAGAAAGGAGAUCAUAUUAAUUAAAUAUAUAUAUAUUUAAUAAUGAAAAAAAAAAGAGAGAGAGAGAGAGAAAGAGAGAGAAAUGCCAGCAACUCUCAGUGAAAAAAGGUCUAAGGUGUGGUGAUUUUAGACAAUAGAAGAACUCACACAAAGUUGAUAGUUGUAUCCAUAGGCAGAGUAAAUCAGUUUUUGAUGAGGACUUUGUCUUUAUAUCACACCUACCCAGGCAAUGCCACACACUGCUUUUGCAAUUAUAUGUCUUUGAGAUCUCCUUAUCAUACAAGUUUCCCAAGGAAGGGACAUGCAUACACCAAAUGCAGCAUCCACCUAUUACAAUAAAGUUACACAACUAAAACUGUCGCCUGAGCA